Molecule: ribosomal RNA, 254 nt
Filed under: uncultured bacterium
Lineage: Bacteria
Description: partial 16S ribosomal RNA
Rfam family: Bacterial small subunit ribosomal RNA
Source: RNAcentral
CACGUAGGGUGCAAGCGUUGUCCGGAAUUAUUGGGCGUAAAGAGCUCGUAGGCGGUUCGUCGCGUCUGCUGUGAAAACUGGAGGCUCAACCUCCAGCCUGCAGUGGGUACGGGCAGACUAGAGUGCGGUAGGGGAGACUGGAAUUCCUGGUGUAGCGGUGAAAUGCGCAGAUAUCAGGAGGAACACCGGUGGCGAAGGCGGUUCUCUGGGCAUGAUCUGACGGCUGAGGAGCGAAAGUGUGGGGAGCGAACAGG